GACCCUACCUCAGUGAGACCCUUGUUGCCUGUCUGCUGACAGACAGCGCGGCUGAGGAAGCGGGGCUCCAGACUGGAGAAGCGCUGGCUGGCAGUGGCACCGAGGUCACCAGUGUUGAGCUUGCAGAAGCUGUGCACCUUGCAAGGAAAGGUCCAGACAUCUUGAUUCUGAAGGUGGGAUCUGGCAGCACCAUUGUUCCAAUACCCCUGG
RNAcentral lists this long non-coding RNA (210 nucleotides) under Dasypus novemcinctus (nine-banded armadillo). Its description in RNAcentral is "lncRNA (ENSDNOG00000050742.1)". The record is from RNAcentral. Lineage: Eukaryota; Metazoa; Chordata; Mammalia; Cingulata; Dasypodidae.